RNAcentral lists this ribosomal RNA (492 nucleotides) under uncultured bacterium. RNAcentral describes it as "partial 16S ribosomal RNA". It matches the Rfam family "Bacterial small subunit ribosomal RNA", at positions 29 to 507 of the family's 1533-position model. The record is from RNAcentral.
AGUGAACGCUGGCGGUAGGCCUAACACAUGCAAGUCGAACGGCAGCACAGUAAGAGCUUGCUCUUACGGGUGGCGAGUGGCGGACGGGUGAGGAAUACAUCGGAAUCUACUUUUUCGUGGGGGAUAACGUAGGGAAACUUACGCUAAUACCGCAUACGACCUACGGGUGAAAGCAGGGGAUCUUCGGACCUUGCGCGAUUGAAUUAGCAGAUGUCGGAUUAGCUAGUUGGCGGGGUAAAGGCCCACCAAGGCGACGAUCCGUAGCUGGUCUGAGAGGAUGAUCAGCCACACUAGAACUGAGACACGGACCGACAUACUAAGGAAGGCAGCAGUGGGGAAUAUUGGACAAUGGGCGCAAACCUGAUCCAGCCAUACCGAGUGGGUGAAGAAGGCCUUCGGGUUGUAAAGCCCUUUUGUUGGGAAAGAAAAGCAGCAGGUUAAUACGCCGCUGUUCUGACGGUACCCAAAGAAUAAGCACCGGCUAACUUCGUG